This is a regulatory RNA element of Planomicrobium sp., 100 nucleotides long. It matches the Rfam family "Purine riboswitch aptamer". Rfam says of the family: Riboswitches are metabolite binding domains within certain messenger RNAs that serve as precision sensors for their corresponding targets. Allosteric rearrangement of mRNA structure is mediated by ligand binding, and this results in modulation of gene expression. A class of riboswitches that selectively recognises guanine and becomes saturated at concentrations as low as 5 nM. The record is from Rfam. NCBI's taxonomy places the organism in Bacteria, Bacillati, Bacillota, Bacilli, Caryophanales, Caryophanaceae.
UUAUGAUGAUUGUGGAUACCCCAUAUAUGCAGAAGAAUUGGCUUCUGCGUUUCUACCAAGACACCGGAAUGUCUGGACUAUGCGGGAAAGCAACUUAUGG